GAGCUACCCAGGUGCCCCUAAAAUGUACCAUCUUAACUACUUUUAAGUGUAUAGUUUAGUGGCAUUAAUCACAUUCACACUGUUGUGCAGCUCUCACCACCAACCAUCUGCAGAAUGCUUUCAUCUGGCAAAACUGAAACUCUGUCCCAAUUAAACACUAACUCCCCAUUCACCCCCAGCCCCUGGCCGUCAGCAUCCUACUUUCUAUGAACUUGAUGAUUCUAGGGACCUCACAUAAGCAGAAUCAUACUCUAUUUGUCCUUUUGUAAUGGGCCUAUUUCACCUAACAUCAUGUCCUCAAGGUUCAUCCGUGUUGUCAUUUCUUUGCUUUUUAAGGUUGAAUGAUGUCCUGUUAAAUAUAUGUAUCCCAUAUUGUUUAUUCACUCAUCCAUCAGUGGACACUCGGGUUGCUUCCACCCUCUGGCUACUGUGACUAAUGGCGCUAUGAACAUGACUGUACAAAUAUCUUUGGAGUUCCUGCUUUCGAUUCAUUUGUGUAUAUACCUAGAAGUGGAAUUGCUAGAUCAUAUGGAUGGACCACAUCCAGUGACUACUUGGUGCAGAGAUUCAAGGCUUGGCUUCCUUGUCUCAGCCUAGUGUGACUCUGAAGGGCCAUCCCAGUUCAGAGCUCCUGCUGAGAUCAGCUGAAGUCUCUGCUGUAACCACAUGGCAGUUGAGCUUCACCUCUGCCCAAUCCUGCUUCCCUGACUCCACCUCUUGGGGCCCAGCAGGACCAGGUCCCCAGGCCCUGGGAGGCACUCACCAACACACCAGUUUUCUGAGGACCUGCAUUUCUACCUUGACCACCAGAAGCUUCAAGGAACAAGGUUCCUCACCCAGACACUGACCUCCAUUCUUGGUACCUGUGAAUCAUGCAUUUCACACUCCGUGCCUUGGUUCAUGCUGCCUCUCUGGGAGGAAUGCCCUUCCCACUCUGGCAAACUCCUCUUCACCUGUCUUGAUCCAACUCAGGACACACCCCGCCCCCGCCCCCACUACCGCCCUCAAGAAGCCUCUCUGGACUCAUCUUAUAUCCUCGCCAAUAGAAGCCCUUCCUCUGUUCUGUGUCCGCCACAGCCCCCGGCCCCCACAUGCCUGCCUGUGAACACAGGCACAACUAGACUGGGCGCUCCGUGAAAGUAGAGUCUAGGUUGGACUUGCCCGGCAAGUACCUGGCACAGAGCAGGCAUUGGUGAGCAGCAGCCGAAAGCUCCAGCCCAGCUUAGCCAUGGGAACGCCAAAAUUCAUCUAAUCUUAUUCCAGCAACGCCUAGAUCUCUAAAAGGCAUUGCUUCCACCAAUGGUGAAUGCUGCUCCUGCUGCCUGCAUCCUGGGGACUGCUUUUGUUCAACCACUUCUGCAUACCUGCCAACACGAAAAGAGACCCUGGUAGCAGGACCAGGGCUGGAGACACACAGGGCACAAAAUGUAAAGAGGCCUCGCUCUCAGGCACCAAUCCUGCACCUGCACCCCUCGGAAAGGGAGCCCUCCUUGCAUUUUGCUCCCUGGGCACCUCACCUUGCUUGCCCCAGUCCCUGCCCUGCCCAUAACAAUAACAAGAGCCACACCUGACAUUUGUCCAGUUACUAUGUGCAGGGUAGAGAGCUGGGCAUUUUGCAGGCAUGAAGUUAUUAAUCCACACAACACUGCUCUAAAAUAUGAACCUCAAGAUCUCCAUGGCAUGAGGACCCCAAAACACAGAGAGGUGAUUGAAUGCUGAGCGGGUAUAGGCACGCACUCCCAGCUUGGCCUGGCACCUUGCAAUGCUGCCCUGGAGAGGAAGCCCCUUCCCUCCACUGUUCCCACCUCUGGGCCUUGGCACAUGCUGUGGCCGGCACCAAGCAAACACUCCUGGUGUCACGUGUCCCUGGAUCCUCACAACAGCCCUAUCCAGUGGAUGUUAUGGUUCUCCCUACUUACUGUACAGAUGAAGAAACAGCCUCAGUGAGGUGUGGUGCCCCACCCCCACCACCCAGCCAGGCUUCGGGCCACCCAGGGUGUCUGUGGCAGACCAAGAGAAGGUUCUUUUCUCCUGUCUCCCCCUAGGACUCCUCUGUGAGACCUUCUACCAACCCUCACCUCAUCAGGUAUUUAUGGUUUUGCCCGUAAAAGGACAAGCCAUCCCGAUAAGAUAGAAACGUUUUAUGGGGCAACAAAAAUAUAGAUAAAAUUUUAUAGUGCAAAUCAGGAGGAGGAAAGUAUUAAGUUCCAUAAACACCUUUAAAUUUUAAACAGCCCCCAUUGCAGGGUCCCUGGAGCCAAACUUAAAUAAUGGAUCAGAAAGGGGAUAAAUCUCCCUGGUCCCCCGUGUGGCAGUGGGAGAGACCUGAUCGACAAACAGACAGGAAGGGGGGUAUGGGCGGCCGCCCGGUGCAGUGCUGGGUCCUUGCGGGCCGCAGUGCGGGCAGAGAGCCUUGUCUUUAUUGUACUUAUAAAAUAUACAUGGCCCUUUAUUGAAUUGCCUGCUGUCGAAAUCUGCAAGAAUGUUAUUGCCUUUUACUGUCCUGGAGAGAAGCAGAGCAGCAACAUCUGUGUAAUUUCAUAAGAUGCAGGAGCCAUAAAUCUGAUUGUGCCGGAUAUAAGAUCGAUCGUAAAAAAUCACGCAUUGAACAGAGAUCGGGGAUGCCGGGAAGCAGCAGGGGCCAGUGCAGCUUGGGGGGCGGGGGGGUGGAGAACGGACCUGCUCCACACCCUCCAGGAGCAGCGUCCCAAGUGGGGCUCUGGCCAGCAGGUGCUUUGGAGGAGUAAGACCCUCCCUGUGGGGUCAGGACCUCUGGGGUCCUUGCCCUCUGCAGGGAAGGGAGGUGGGGUCAAAACCUUCCCAGACCCAUGAGAGACCUACUCAGAGAUGGGAAGCAAGAGCUGGAAGGGGGCACCCAGGAUUCACUGUCCUUAUGCAUAAGAGGGACAGAUGGAUGUAGACACACCCAGUCACCCCCAAUAUCAGGUACAUGGGUAUAACCAAGACAUCCUCCAACCUCUGUUUCAACCUGCCUCACACCACUACCCACAAUGACCUUCUCUUAAUCCUUCUCUUGUAUAAAAUUUGUCUUGUAUCUUCAUAAAAAGUGCAAUUGUUUUGGAGAUAGAUAGAUAGAUAGAUAGAUAGAUAGAUAGAUAGAUAGAUAUUAGGGAUGGAGACAACAAAUAGAACCCCUCUUUCCCUCUGGGCUUGGAGCCAGGGAGAGAUAAGACAUAGUGAUAUCAAACCAGCCUAAUCACUCAUCAGAUCUGAUUGGAGGGCAUGGCUGAGAUGAGCCACCCAUUGGGCUUUCUCAUAUGGUCCUUCUGAUCUGAAUUGCCCUUUCCAUUUCUGGACUGUCCCCCAGGGCAAAGCCUUCUGGGAACCUACACCACCCCCAGCACUCUCCCUGCAGGCAGGCCUGCGGAAUCGAGAAAGCCCAGAAGAGGCUGGGUGAGGCAUGCUCAGUUCCGGUCCCCAAAUGCACCAAUCCAGUCUCACCUCCCUUGGGGCAGAAUCAGUGAGGGGUGCAGAGAGAAGCCAGGAGUGUUCUUACAGAAACCCAAGUCCAUGUGGCAAUGACGGUAUCUCCAUCCCUGGCCUCUCCUCUGAGAUGAAGUCCCAAGAAACUCAUCAGAAAGUGUGAAAGCAUGGGAAAGGUUUGCCCAGGGCUUCUCUGCUCUCUGAAUGCCUGGAAAUUACCUUUCCUUGUCAACCAAGCUGCCCUUGCCCUACAGCUGAGUGAGAAGGGGUGAGUUUUUAAAGAGCAAGAAAAUGAUACAGAGAUGGGAAUUGGUUGCUCCCAAAGAGAUGGUCUUCCAACAGCACUCUUAUCAGUUAUCUGUUGCUCUAUAACAAAUAACCCCAAAACUUAGAGGCCUGAAAUAAGAACAUUUGUUAUCUCAUAGCUUCUUGAAGGUCUGGAAUCCUACAAAGUGUGUCCGAGUAAGAAGUAGCUAGUGCCAUCCACCUCUCCCUCCUUCCUUCCUGGGACACAGACAUUCUGUCUGGAGUGAUGGCAGCCAUUUUGUGACCAUAAGAUGACAACCAUGAGGAAAGUAAAGCCUACCAGCUAAAAAUAUUAAUUUAGAAAGACAGAACUUCAAAGGUUUCAGUGAUCAUGGGGUCAACCACCACAAGCAGCCACCUUGUUCUAGACUUCUUUUUCCAUGAGAAAAAAUGAUUCAUUUGAGCUCAUGUUCACUGGGUUCUCUUUUACCUGCAUAACCAAACACAUCCUCUAUCUAGCUGAUGGUGGUAGCCAAUAGAAAAAAUAUAGCUUUGAAGUGAGUCUCCCCUUCAUGAUACAAAGCAGUGUGCCAGCAUAUAGAUGCAAAAUGGCAGAGAGAAAUGAAAAAAAAUUUUAAAGGAAUGCCAUCCAAUUCAGCAGGAGUGUGGGAAAAUGAUCGUUCUUAUGUACUGUUGGUGAAAGUAUAAAUUGGUUUAGCCUUAUUAGGGAGUAAUUUAGCUAUAUCUAUUAUGCUAUAAAAUGCAUAAACUCUCUGACCUAGAAACCUCACUUCUAUAAAUCUAUCCCACAGAAAUAAUCACAUGCAUGGGUAACGUAAUAAGCAUAAGAAUGUUCAUUGUAGCAUUGCUUAUAAUAGCAGACAUUGGGAGCAAUCUCUAUCUCCAUCAGCAGACACACAGUCAAAUAAAUUACUGUUGAAGUCUGUGCCAUCCAGUACGAUAGCCCCUGGUCACGUGUGGCUACUCAGCUCUUGAAAUGUAACUAGUUCACAUGUGCUGUUAGCGUAAAAUACAUGCUGGAUUUCAAAGAAUAUUUUUAAAUAAUGCAAAAAAAUCUCAAUGGUGAUAUAUUGUUUACAUGUUGAAAUGAUAAUAUUUUG
Molecule: long non-coding RNA, 4811 nt
Organism: Canis lupus familiaris (dog)
Lineage: Eukaryota; Metazoa; Chordata; Mammalia; Carnivora; Canidae
Exons: 3
Source: RefSeq, a predicted model, not a curated record